Molecule: unclassified non-coding RNA, 160 nt
Filed under: uncultured Ascomycota
Lineage: Eukaryota; Fungi; Ascomycota
Description: sequence contains ITS1
Source: RNAcentral
CAGUGUUCGCUGCCCUCCGGGGUAGCAAACCUCACCCUUGUGUAUUAUAUCUUUGUUGCUUUGGCACGCCGCCCCUGGGCGCUGGCUCCGGCUGGCUAGUGCGUGUCAAAGGACCCCAAACUCUGAAUGUUAGUGUCGUCUGAGUACUAUCUAAUAGUUA